AAACAGUUUAGCUGCAAUAACUUGAAGCAAAAUCCUUUUCUGUGUGAUGUAUCAGUCUCUCACAUUAUUGUGGAGGAAUAUUACCCCACACACCCCUCACACAGACACAUUUGACUCUAGAAUAUUUUGGUAUACAGAGGAGGUCAUGGCUGACUCAGUGACUGCGAGGUGUUCAGGUCCUGUGGAUGUAAAACAAGCCCAAAUAAUGACCCCUCCAUCACUGUGCUAACAGGUCGCAUGAGGUGUUUGUGCUGAUAUGUUGUUUUUGGUUUUUACCAUGGUGAUGUGCAGUAUGACCUAAAGUCUCCACUUUGGUCUUUUCUUUCCAAAGGACUUUUUUUUUUUUAAACUUUUGUUUUGUAAGGAUACAGUUUUGCAAACUGAAGCUGUGCAGCCAUGUCCUUUUUUACAGAGACAAGGUAUUCUCCUCCCAAACAGUUCAUUCUUGUUCAGUGUUUUUCUAAUCGUACUGACAAAUUAUGUUUAACAGACUAGCUAAAGUUUCUAGGGUCUGACAGACUCUUCUGAUUUUGCCGUUUCUCUGAGUAUUGGUCUGAGCUUGGUUGAACGUCCACUCCUGUCUUGAGUUUUAAUGCACACCUGAAUGCUCCAGACCAGCGAUCUUUCAAAACCUCUCCUUUUAUGGAGAUGCUCAAACUUGCUUAUGAUCAGUUCAUUGAAUCAAGCAGCAGUAGUCUCACCUGGCUGUUACUACUGCUGCUUGGUUCCUAUAAAAGCAUUGAGGGUGUCCUUAGUUUUUCACAGGAUUGCAUCUAAAUAAAGAUUUUGUUUAGAGGCCACAACAUUUCUCAAAGCGUUUGUUCAGUGAGGCAUCUUCAGUUAUACCAAAACCAAUUACAUAUUUUAGAUCACACCUGUACAAAGGUAUGACUUUUCCCUUAUUUAUUCUUUGUAUUCACCAAUAACCCACCGAAUGUUGUUACUGUUAUCUCCUAUCAGUAUUUUCCAUCCAUGCUGACUUUAUAUCACCUGUGUCUAU
This is a long non-coding RNA of Astatotilapia calliptera (eastern happy), 1000 nucleotides long. NCBI's taxonomy places the organism in Eukaryota, Metazoa, Chordata, Actinopteri, Cichliformes, Cichlidae. The record is from Ensembl.